GCAACUCGAGCUUCUGAACCUAUGAUAUGAGACAUCAUAGCGCAAAGAGAGAAUAUGCGUCAAUACUUUAAAUGUAUCGGUAUGCUAGGUGAGGUUAGACUGAUAUGCAUGGGCUCAUGUGCGUGAGAUGAUAACUGACUGAAUGAGCAUCACGAAGUCACUAGAUGAGAGUACAUCCAAAACUGUAACUACUGAACAUGCAAUACUGUGCAUAUAGUUAUAUAUCGUGUAUCUGAGAUUAUACUGAGACUGAGUACUAAAUUCUGAUGGCUAAGUAACUGAUAACUGAUAGCCAUGAUCCUGUAGAACUGAUUGAGUUC
RNAcentral lists this long non-coding RNA (320 nucleotides) under Capsicum annuum. RNAcentral describes it as "long non-coding RNA (CANN_LNC009798)". Lineage: Eukaryota; Viridiplantae; Streptophyta; Magnoliopsida; Solanales; Solanaceae. The record is from RNAcentral.